UGGAGAGUUUGAUCCUGGCUCAGGACGAACGCUGGCGGCGUGCCUAAUACAUGCAAGUCGAGCGGACGAUUCAAAAGCUUGCUUUUGGAUCGUUAGCGGCGGACGGGUGAGUAACACGUGGGCAACCUGCCCUGUAGACGGGGAUAACACCGAGAAAUCGGUGCUAAUACCGGAUAAUACGAAAGGCCGCAUGGUCUUUCGUUGAAAGGCGGCGCAAGCUGUCGCUACAGGAUGGGCCCGCGGCGCAUUAGCUAGUUGGUGAGGUAACGGCUCACCAAGGCGACGAUGCGUAGCCGACCUGAGAGGGUGAUCGGCCACACUGGGACUGAGACACGGCCCAGACUCCUACGGGAGGCAGCAGUAGGGAAUCUUCCGCAAUGGACGAAAGUCUGACGGAGCAACGCCGCGUGAGCGAAGAAGGCCUUCGGGUCGUAAAGCUCUGUUGUUAGGGAAGAACAAGUACCGCAGUCACUGGCGGUACCUUGACGGUACCUAACGAGGAAGCCACGGUAACUACGUGCCAGCAGCCGCGGUA
This 535-nucleotide ribosomal RNA is filed under the name Anoxybacillus flavithermus. RNAcentral describes it as "bacterial SSU rRNA". It matches the Rfam family "Bacterial small subunit ribosomal RNA", at positions 1 to 522 of the family's 1533-position model. The record is from RNAcentral. Lineage: Bacteria; Bacillati; Bacillota; Bacilli; Caryophanales; Anoxybacillaceae.